GGUUGGAUACGCGAACGCAACGCAUCCAAGGCCAGCACAAUUGGCUCAGUGUUAUAGGCCUCUUCAAUCAGUGCUUCAGAAAGGUCAAGACAUUCUGGCGGAAAAGGAAUGCUAGGAAAGCCGGCGUGCUCGUAAUCUGGUAACCUUUCGUGUUUCGCCAUCACAUCUGUUAUCAAAUAAUCUUUAAGAUACGGCGAGCGACUAAUGUCGAUGAUGUACUCUGCAGCCAGCACAAAAUUCUCGAAAGAAGGCGGUUCCGCGAUAGAAGCGUUCACGGAUCUCCAUAUUGAAGGGAUGUGAAUGAAAGCAGACUCGUUAAAGAUGAGUUUGGCAGCUGAUAUGUCGCCGUAGUAAAUAGGGAUCGCGCCUCCUGC
RNAcentral lists this long non-coding RNA (374 nucleotides) under Micromonas commoda. RNAcentral describes it as "long non-coding RNA (MCOM_LNC000487)". The record is from RNAcentral. Lineage: Eukaryota; Viridiplantae; Chlorophyta; Mamiellophyceae; Mamiellales; Mamiellaceae.